UAGCUAGUUUACUGCCUCCCUCCCAACACACCAGCAGCUGCAAUGGGCUGGCAAAGCCCCUCGCCUGUUGCUGUCCAUGGCUUCACAUGGGCUGUGUUGUCUGGUGGGGCUUGCUGCUGCCUCCUCCCCACCAUCAAAGGCCCGGAGGAGCAGCUCCCAGCAGCAGCCGUGUCCAAGUGCAUCUGUGCACGGCCCCCAGCUCCCCAUGCUGCUCCAGGCAGGUGGCAGGCUGGGGCUGGCCCAGGGCUCUGCAGCCCCAACCAGGACAAGGAGCCAGCUCCUAGAUACAGCACAUCCAGCCUAGACCAUGGAAUCAGAAGAGGGAGCUGCCAACUGAGGAACAGCAGGUUUUAUACACUCCCCAGAUAGACACAAGACAUCUUCAGGUGUACCAUCCAGCUGAGCAGCAUCUCAAUGUACAGAUACAGGUGCCAGGUCUUGAAAUAGCAGUAGGUCAUCUUAACUCUCCAGAUGCCCACAGGUGAAACUCCAUGCAAGGAGUCUGCAGCAGUGGAGUGGAGGACAGUCACCUCUGGAUCCAGGCGGUGGGGCCCGGCUGGGGCAUCACUGCCCAGGCAGAAGAAGAAACACCGAGUGAUUGUGGUGGGCGCCUCGAUCCUGAGAGGCACAGAGAGGCUGAUCUGUCGACCAGAUCCUAUGGUGAGAGAAGUCUCCUGCAUGCCUGGAGCUAAGACCAGGGACAUCACUGAGGUGAUUCCUGCUCUCAUUAAGCCCUCUGACUACUACCCCAUGGUCCUCGUCCAUGUGGGAACCAACGAUACGGCUAGGACCAGCCCUGACCGCAUCAUGAAAGACUUCCAUGAACUGGAAGACAGCCUCAAGAAGACUGGAGCACAGGUUGUAUUUUCUUCCAUCCUUCCGGUUGACAGCAGCUGGAGACACCAGGGUGCCCGCGUCAAGGAAGUCAACCGGUGCCUCCAGAGUUGGUGUCUUCAAGACAGUUUUUGAUUCUACCACCAUGACCAGCACUUCCAGGGAGGAGGCUUGCUGGGAGAUGAUGAUCUUCAUCUCUCUCCCAGAAAUAAGUAUCUGUUUGCCCGCAGGUUGGCUGAUCUCCUCCAAAAAGCUUUAAACUAGGCUCGAUGGGGGUCGGGGAACUGGUGGUCGAAGAGAGCCCAGGGUUGAUAAAUCACAAACAAGAUGCCAGAUCGCACCAGGUAAGUAUUAAGGGGUUGGUAAGCCAUAAACAAGGCACCAGACCACACCAGGUAAGUAAUAAGGGAACACAUGCCAUCAAGGCACAGGGGCACCAAGAGUCCCCUUUGGGGGACUAAAAUGUCUUUAUACAAAUGCCAGGAAUAUAGGGAACAAGCAGGAGGAGCUCACACCCUUGCUUGCUAGCACCCAGUAUGACCUAGUCGGACUAACCAAGACAUGGUGGGAUUCUACACAUGAUUUGGCAGUAGGCAUUGAGGGGUAUAGGUUGUAUAGGCAUGACAAAGUGGGGAGAAAAGGUGGGGGGUAGCACUCUAUGUUAAGGAGCAGUAUACAUCUUCCACCAUUAAGGUGGGGGUGGAGGAGGGGAACACCGAGGCAUUGUGGGUCAGGAUCCAGGGGGGCCCAGGGGAAAAGGACUUGGUUGUGGGGGUCUACUACAGGCCUCCUCAUCAGGAUCAAGAGCUAGAUGAUGUAUUCUCUGGGCAGCUAGCAAACGCCACACAGGCGAGGGAGGCGGUAGUCAUGGGAGAUCUAAACUACCCAGAUAUCUGCUGGCAGGAGCAGACAGCCAAAACAAGAGGCUCAUGGAGGUUCUUACACUGUGUGCAGGACCUCCACCUAACCCAGGUGGUGUCUAGUCCCACCAGGGGUAGCACCUUGCUUAACCUGGUCUUAGCAACAGGGGAUGAUCUCGGGGGGGAACAUGCAAGUUCAUGGUAGCCUGGGAAAUAGUGACCAUCACUUGAUCGAGUUCACUCUUCAAUGAAGGGUGGGUAAAGUAACUAGUGGGGCUAAGGUGUUGGACUUCAGAAGGGCCAACUUUAGCAAGCUUAGAAGGCUAGUUAGUGAGGAGAUGCAACUCAAGAACAUAGAGCAUAUGGGGGUCCAGGAGGGUUGGAGGUAUCUCAAGGGAGUGAUCCUUGGUGCCCAUUUUCAAGAAAGGGAGAAGGGAUGAACCGGGUAACUUUAGACCAGUCUUACCUCUAUUCCUGGGAAAAUGCUACAGAAAAUAAUCAAAGAACACAUUUGUGCAGACCCAGCAGGGGAAACGAUGCUGAGGGGAAACCAGCAUGGGUUUGUCACCAGUAGAUCCUGCCUGAUAAACCUUGUAGCUUUCUAUGACCAGGUCACACACUGCCUGGAUGCGGGAGUCGAGGCUGAUGUCAUCUUCCUGGACUUUAGGAAGGCCUUCGACACAGCUUCGCACCCUAUCCUCAUUGGGAAGCUAGCAGACUGCGGAGUGGACACCUACACAGUCAGGUGGAUCCCAUCUCUUCCCAGAAAUCCUUCUUAUUGUAAGAACAUCCCAUUGUUAAAGAAGCCAAAUCCCUGCUGGUGACACCACUUGGGCAGUCAAGUGUUGAUCUUCAGGAUGCACCUGCUCCUGCCUGGGCCCUUUCCCUUGACUGGAAGGAUUGAUGAUGUUAGGGUGACAAUAUUUGGAUCUUAGAGAGCACUGGAUUUGCAGCUGAACACAAAGGCUUUACCUGUGGCCUAGCAAAGCUGCUGACUACAAGGCAGAAUGAUGGUUAAGCCAGCCAUUUGCUUAUGUUAAGUAACCAUUUUAACUGUGUCAACCAUUUUCUGAGGGAAAAGCAGCAAGUGAAUCUGUGUAAGUCUGUGCACUGUGAACCAACUACAGCAAGGAACGAGAUAAGAUAAAGGGGCCCAAAAAAGGGUGGAAGAUGGUACAACCUAAGACGGAAAAACAGACUGGAAUGUGGAAAACAACACAUAAUUGGUAACAGAAUCCAAGAUGAACAUAUGCAAAAAGGUGAAUGGUGAUUGGUGAAGAAGCCUCCAGAAGCUUCCAGGUUUUAGUCAAAGUCCACCCAUUGACCGAAGAAAAGGAGUCAAGGUCUUAGACUUGCACUCAAAAGCAAGAAGACAUGUAAGUGAAUGAAAUGCAUAGGCAAUUCCAUGCUAAUGAAGCAAACAGUAAACAGAGGCGGAGCUUGAGAUGGGAGGAGAAAUGGGUAGAAUGAAUGUUAAUAAACAUGAACUGAAGUGUAUAAAAGUGGAAAAAACUAUUGUUUGUGGCUGUUCCUUGUCUCUUAUGGCGAGAGAGCUCACCCGAAGCUGUCUCCAUUCUGAAUAAAGCUGUUGCGAGCAAUGUG
RNA transcript from Alligator mississippiensis (American alligator), 3296 nucleotides. RefSeq lists it as uncharacterized. The record is from RefSeq and is a predicted model, not a curated record. NCBI's taxonomy places the organism in Eukaryota, Metazoa, Chordata, Crocodylia, Alligatoridae. The transcript has 6 exons.